This is a long non-coding RNA of Helianthus annuus (common sunflower), 449 nucleotides long. RefSeq lists it as uncharacterized. Lineage: Eukaryota; Viridiplantae; Streptophyta; Magnoliopsida; Asterales; Asteraceae. The record is from RefSeq and is a predicted model, not a curated record. The transcript is spliced from 3 exons.
UCGUGAGAGAGGCCAGGAGAGAGCUUUCCCCCUUAAAACCCUAACAUACUAAAUCCUUCAAAUUAAAGAGGAAAUUGAAGGCUAGUGGAAUGCAUGGAUUAAGAAUGAUGAUCACCUAAGCAUUUCCUACAUCAAGAACGAGAGUAAAGGAAAGCUUGAGUCAUACCCAAGAUAAAGUGACGAAAAAUCAAGGUAAAUCCUCACCUUAGGCGAUUUGGGAGAAUCGGAGCGAGCACGUGUCCAUGUCAUGUUAUACCAAACGCUUCCGCUAGAUUAUUCUCAUCUUUUUGGUCCAUGACUUGUUAUUUUGUACAACUUUGUUAGUAGUUGUACAUUUGUAAAACUUGUCGUCUUUGCUUUUGGUAGUUUUAUGUCAACGGGUUCGUAGAAUGUUAUUUGAAUGAUUAUGUUAAAAACAGGGGGCACGUUCGUUUUACGAACGGGUCAUG